UGCAACUCGGCUGCAUGAAGCUGGAAUCGCUAGUAAUCGCAGAUCAGAAUGCUGCGGUGAAUACGUUCCCGGGUCUUGUACACACCGCCCGUCACACCAUGGGAGUUGGGAAUGCCCGAAGUCAGUGACCCAACCGCAAGGAGGGAGCUGCCGAAGGCAGGCUUGAUAACUGGGGUGAAGUCGUAACAAGGUACC
Molecule: ribosomal RNA, 195 nt
Filed under: uncultured bacterium
Lineage: Bacteria
Description: partial 16S ribosomal RNA
Rfam family: Bacterial small subunit ribosomal RNA
Source: RNAcentral